GCUGAGGCCKCCCAGGGGAAGGAAACCUGCAGUCCGGGAGAAUGCGGGCCCAUGUCUGCCACCCUCACACACAACCCUACAGGGUCCCCACUCCAGAUCAGCAGAUGACGAGGGCAAGAAGCUGCUGAUGAGCUCCUCCACGCCCUGGAAGYUACAGCAGCCCAUCAAGCAGGAGCGACUUCCACUCCGGGGCCRCACAGGACUCGAAUUACCAAACGCAUGUGCUGCCAGAUGCCAGGAUUCAGAAAUAAAAUCUGACAUCUGGGGCUUUUUAGCCAAUCUCUUUAAAAAACAGUUGUUGAAAACUCGCAGCCUUCAGUUUUAUGUAGGUUUUUUUAAUUACUUAAAGCUCUUCUUUCUAAUUUUUUACAGUGCUCCAGUAGGAGUUUGGAAGCCAGAUAUAAAAACUUACAUCACAGCUGAGAAAACACAGCUCUGAGUCUUUGGUUUAUGGGGUAACCAAAGUCCUCCCAUGUGUUUAGAUGCCAGGCUGGAGAACCCCACUUCAUCACCAAGAGGGGGACAGAAGCCUGGAGGGGGAGGGGCUUGAGAACAGCAAGCGGAGGAGUUCUAUGGGGCCAUCUCAGCCACCAGGACAAGCCCACCCCACCCGCCUUCAAAUCCAACACGUGGUCUUCAUCUUAAUGUUUAAGGUCUGAAAGCAAUUUCCCAUUUUCCAGAGUGGCUGCUGGCCACUGACAGGCCACUGAUCCAAAAGAUAACCAAGUGGGGUGAAGGCUGCUGCCACAGGGACCCACAGGGGCUGCAGCCACCUGAGGAGGAGGAAAGGUUAGACAGCAGAUGGCAGGUGAAGGACAUUCAGACCUUGGAAGACAAUAUUCAGACCUGGGGCACAAGGACCAGGGYGAAGAGCUGGACAGGACAGACCGGGCCUGGGGGAACCAGGGCCCAGAGGCCCCGCCCCCUUACCUCCGAUGACUCAUCUGCGCCCUGGUAGCCCACCUGCGCUGGACCUGCCCUCCGGAUUUCCACUCUGUCUUUCUACUGUGUGCUUGUCGUGGUCAACAGCACACCGGUCCAGCCUCUCCCUCUAAUCACGCCCGGCUGCACCGUCCUGGCUCUCCCGGCCCCUCUCACUGCCUCACUCAUCUCAUGGGCCUAGCCCAUGUGUCCUUGGGAGCUCAGGGYGUGUCCACCCUGGGAAGGCCGAGGCUCAGGCUUCCGCCACACCCAGGAGGAGUGAAACUGCGGACCCUGUCUCCAGCGCGCCUUCCUAUCCUACUCCCACCCUGAGGCUGUCUGCCUAGACCCCACUGUCACAUGGCCCCUGGGACCAGGUAUCACCGCGUCACCCUCCGAGGAGCAAAUGCCAGUGUGACAGAUACGUGCUACAGACUUCUGAGGAUUUCACGAAGGUGCCCCUGAGGGACAUGGGCUGCCCGGACAGGAGGCUCCCGCCCGCCUCGGGGUUUGAGAUGCAGAGCUUCACCUGGUAAACAAGCUUAUAACGGAGCAGAGCCACCUCUGGCGCGACAGGUCCCAGCUAAUCUGGGCCAUCGCUGGGGCAGCGGGUAAUGAACGCCAGCCCUGUGGAGUCGAUAACAGAGGAGGUGGCCGGGGUCCCAGGAGCCACAGUAAUUACAGACUCUCCCGACCCUGCCUUGGACUCUUAGAGGGAAGGGGGGAAAUCACUGAAAACCCCCCUGAAAACCUCAUAGAAGCAGAAAUUAAAAAUGAACUUUACAGCCCUUAGAAAGGCUGUCAUUUUAUUCCCCUUAUUAAUAUUCUGAGGUUGGGAGCCUUUCCGUAAAAACAUAAUUAAUUGAGGCCGCGCCGACAGUAAACAAGCAAUUUCAAAUUAAACCGAAAUG
Molecule: long non-coding RNA, 1832 nt
Organism: Urocitellus parryii (Arctic ground squirrel)
Lineage: Eukaryota; Metazoa; Chordata; Mammalia; Rodentia; Sciuridae
Source: RefSeq, a predicted model, not a curated record